GCAUUGUUGGUUCAGUGGUAGAAUUCUCGCCUGCCACGCGGGAGGUCCAGGUGCGACUCCCGGCCAAUGCA
Molecule: non-coding RNA, 71 nt
Organism: Danio rerio (zebrafish)
Lineage: Eukaryota; Metazoa; Chordata; Actinopteri; Cypriniformes; Danionidae
Source: Rfam